ACAUAUGGUCAUCAGAUGAACCGCAGUGUCUAGACUCCGCACCUGAAUCCUACUACACAACGUCGGCUACGUAUUAUUCUCCUCCACCGACCACAACUUCCUGCUUCCUACUACCCAGUUGAUUAUGGUUAUAAUGCCCAGAAGAAAAGGCAGACUCCUCAGGCUCCAGAAUAUUAUGCUACGACUCCUUGUUAUUGUCCACCAGCAACGACACCGGCGUCGUACUACCAGGAGUCAUACCCGACUGUUGCCCCGUAC
This 258-nucleotide long non-coding RNA is filed under the name Daphnia pulex (common water flea). RNAcentral describes it as "uncharacterized LOC124193662". Lineage: Eukaryota; Metazoa; Arthropoda; Branchiopoda; Diplostraca; Daphniidae. The record is from RNAcentral.